This 249-nucleotide unclassified non-coding RNA is filed under the name Apodus deciduus. RNAcentral describes it as "sequence contains 5.8S rRNA gene". The stretch from base 1 to 53 matches the Rfam family "5.8S ribosomal RNA", at positions 102 to 154 of the family's 154-position model. Lineage: Eukaryota; Fungi; Ascomycota; Sordariomycetes; Sordariales; Lasiosphaeriaceae. The record is from RNAcentral.
GAACGCACAUUGCGCCCGCUAGUAUUCUGGCGGGCAUGCCUGUUCGAGCGUCAUUUCAACCAUCAAGCCCUAGGCUUGUGUUGGGGCCCUGCGGCCGUCCGCAGCCCCCUAAAAACAGUGGCGGGCUCGCUAUAUACCGAGUGCAGUAGUUUACUCUUCGCUCAGGACAUGUAGUGGGUUCUUGCCGUAAAACCCUCCAUUUUUUUAAGGUUGACCUCGGAUCAGGUAGGGAUACCCGCUGAACUUAAG